This 357-nucleotide long non-coding RNA is filed under the name Trifolium pratense (red clover). RNAcentral's name for it is "long non-coding RNA (TPRA_LNC012192)". The record is from RNAcentral. Lineage: Eukaryota; Viridiplantae; Streptophyta; Magnoliopsida; Fabales; Fabaceae.
AGGGUUGCAGGUUCCUUUUGUCAAUUUUUCCCAAGCUUCCUCCGGUGUUUUUAAUUUUAAAAAAUUAACAUUAAUGACCAAAAGGGUGAGGAUGUUCGACCUGUCAAUGAUUGUCAACAGGUUGUGGCUUCGGUUCUACGGGCAGCAACAUGGCUACUACCAUAUUUCAAUGAAUCACCAUGAGAAAUUUUCACAUGCCUAGACCCAACUUCAAGCAAGGUAUGACCAGUUUCAGUUAGUCAUAUCGUUUCCAAUUUGGCCACAAGAAGUUUGUCAUUGAUUAUCAUAUUGCUCCCAUCCAUGGUGAAAAAACAACACCGAUAGAAGCGAUAUGACUAACGAACGAUGGAUUAUGCG